This 1083-nucleotide ribosomal RNA is filed under the name marine metagenome. RNAcentral describes it as "bacterial SSU rRNA". It matches the Rfam family "Bacterial small subunit ribosomal RNA", at positions 191 to 1296 of the family's 1533-position model. The record is from RNAcentral.
GUCUUUACGGAGAAAGCUUUAUGCACCAUUGGAUGAGCCUGCACUUGAUUAGUUUGUUGGUGGGGUAAUGGCCUACCAAGACUGUGAUCAAUAGCUGAUUUGAGAGGAUGAUCAGCCACAUUGGGACUGAGACACGGCCCAAACUCCUACGGGAGGCAGCAGUGGGGAAUCUUGCACAAUGGAGGAAACUCUGAUGCAGCGAUGCCGCGUGAGUGAAGAAGGCCCUUGGGUUGUAAAGCUCUUUCGUCGGGGAAGAAAAUGACUGUACCCGAAUAAGAAGGUCCGGCUAACUUCGUGCCAGCAGCCGCGGUAAUACGAAGGGACCUAGCGUAGUUCGGAAUUACUGGGCUUAAAGAGUUCGUAGGUUGUUGAAAUAGUUGGUGGUGAAAUCCCAGAGCUUAACUCUGGAACUGCCAUCAAAACUUUUCAGCUAGAGUAUGAUAGAGGAAAGCAGAAUUUCUAGUGUAGAGGUGAAAUUCGUAGAUAUUAGAAAGAAUACCAAAUGCGAAGGCAGCUUUCUGGAUCAUUACUGACACUGAGGAACGAAAGCAUGGGUAGCGAAGAGGAUUAGAUACCCUCGUAGUCCAUGCCGUAAACGAUGUGUGUUAGACGUUGGAAAUUUAUUUUCAGUGUCGCAGGGAAACCGAUAAACACACCGCCUGGGGAGUACGACCGCAAGGUUAAAACUCAAAUGAAUUGACGGGGACCCGCACAAGUAGUGGAGCAUGUGGUUUAAUUCGAAGAUACGCGCAGAACCUUACCAACACUUGACAUGUUCGUCGCGACUCUAAGAGAUUAGAGUUUUCGGUUCGGCCGGACGAAACACAGUGCUGCAUGGCUGUCGUCAGCUCGUGUCGUGAGAUGUUGGGUUAAGUCCCGCAACGAGCGCAACCCUCACUUUUAGUUGCCAUCAUUAAGUUGGGCACUCUGAAAGAACUGCCAGUGAUAAGCUGGAGGAAGGUGGGGAUGACGUCAAGUCCUCAUGGCCCUUACGUGUUGGGCUACACACGUGCUACAAUGGUAUCUACAACAGGAAGCAAAACUGCGAAGUUAAGCAAAUCCCUAAAAGAUACCUCAGUUCGG